Molecule: ribosomal RNA, 754 nt
Filed under: uncultured Actinomyces sp.
Lineage: Bacteria; Bacillati; Actinomycetota; Actinomycetes; Actinomycetales; Actinomycetaceae
Description: bacterial SSU rRNA
Rfam family: Bacterial small subunit ribosomal RNA
Source: RNAcentral
GACGAACGCUGGCGGCGUGCUUAACACAUGCAAGUCGAACGAAAAUACCAAGCUUGCUUGGUUGAUUAGUGGCGAACGGGUGAGUAACACGUGAGUAACCUGCCCCUUACUUUCCUGGAUAACUGCUCGAAAGGGUAGCUAAUACGGGAUAUUCUGACCAGUCUGCAUGGGUUGGUUUGGAAAGGUUGUUUUUCUGGUAAGGGAUGGGCUCGCGGCCUAUCAGCUUGUUGGUGGGGUGAUGGCCUACCAAGGCUUUGACGGGUAGCCGGCCUGAGAGGGUGGACGGUCACACUGGGACUGAGAUACGGCCCAGACUCCUACGGGAGGCAGCAGUGGGGAAUAUUGCACAAUGGGCGCAAGCCUGAUGCAGCGACGCCGCGUGAGGGAUGAAGGCCUUCGGGUUGUAAACCUCUUUCGUCAGGGAACAAGGCACUGCUUUGGUGGUGUUGAGGGUACCUGGAUAAGAAGCGCCGGCUAACUACGUGCCAGCAGCCGCGGUAAUACGUAGGGCGCAAGCGUUGUCCGGAAUUAUUGGGCGUAAAGAGCUCGUAGGCGGCUGGUCGCGUCUGUCGUGAAAACUUCCGGCUCAACCGGGGGCUUGCGGUGGGUACGGGCCGGCUAGAGUGCGGUAGGGGUAACUGGAACUCCUGGUGUAGCGGUGGAAUGCGCAGAUAUCAGGAAGAACACCGAUGGCGAAGGCAGGUUACUGGGCCGUUACUGACGCUGAGGCUCGAAAGCGUGGGGAGCAAACAGG